GGUGAGUUUUGUGAGUCAGAGGUGUUGGAGGAACAAAAAGUGACUGACACAGUACGUGUUUGUUAGCUCAUCUUUGUCAGAAUCAAACAAGAGACAGCUCUCAGUUUUCCCAUAGAGAACAUGAUGAGUCACAUCACCAUAUCUGGACUUGGUCAUCAGGAGGUUAUUCAGUGCAGACCUGAGGAAAACAAGAUUAGAUCAUGGACCAGUGGAGGGACAUCGCCAGGUGUAGAAAACAACAUGAAACAUGGAGAGCUAAGAUGUCACUACAAAACACAAGAAUGAGAAUUUGAUCGUAGGAAACACAAUAUUCCAGAUGUUUUAAUCGCCCUGAAAAACAAUGAAAAACACGUGUCCUGAGCACGCCUUGCAUCUCCACAAACCAGACCAUCCUGCUUAUUUCCAUGGAAAUGUUGCUGCUUAUCUAUCUCCAUGGAAAAUGUUACAUAGUAUGGUUUUAACUUUCUUUUUCCAUGGAAUCAGGCAGGUGACUUUCCAGCUCCAGAAAGUUACAUACUAUCACUAUAUGCUGAUUGCAAUUAAUCUCAUUAUUAGAAAAGUAUAAAUGACGUACUUUAAUUUUAGCAGUACUCUAUCAGUGUUCAUUUUGUUCAUUACAAAAGUGACGUAUGGACUUACUCAUCUGUGUAUAUACGGUAAGGUGACGCAAAGACACACUGAC
Molecule: long non-coding RNA, 682 nt
Organism: Boleophthalmus pectinirostris (great blue-spotted mudskipper)
Lineage: Eukaryota; Metazoa; Chordata; Actinopteri; Gobiiformes; Gobiidae
Exons: 3
Source: RefSeq, a predicted model, not a curated record